Molecule: long non-coding RNA, 1363 nt
Organism: Micropterus dolomieu (smallmouth bass)
Lineage: Eukaryota; Metazoa; Chordata; Actinopteri; Centrarchiformes; Centrarchidae
Exons: 3
Source: RefSeq, a predicted model, not a curated record
CAGGUCUGGGUCUGACGCGUCACAGUAGUGGCAUGAGCGCGUUGAGCCAGUCUGCAUGCAGUAGUCCUCAGGUGGGGAACCGCACACAUUUGAUGUUACCACAGAACGAUUGAAGGCAAUAUUCUCAAACUUGGGCAUGCAACGGCUUGGGGCACCGUCCUCAUCGUAGCAGGAGUCCAUUGCAGCCCAAACCAGGAGGUGGCAGUGUGGAUGGAGAGAGAGUAUAAAGACGAAUCAAUUGGUAUACUGGAUGUCUGUGUAGCUCCUACGGGUCGGCCAGUAGAGGCCGAGAAAGACCGCCUCCCCCAAAGCAACUCUUCAUCUCUCCUUCAAUUUGAGGAGAGAAACGAAACCUACCAGCUCUCUGACCUCGCCAAGAUGGUGGCCCGCGGUGAAGUGCUCUAUUGACACAGAAUAACAGCUGUACAAAAUGUCCUGUAAUCUGAUGUGUCAGUCCUGUUGAAUGGGAUCUGAAGCAGCUGGCCACACCGCGGUCCGAUCUCGUCAUACAAGGUGCAUCAUCUCUGGGACUCGCUCGCCAUCUGCAUCCAGCAAAGAGUUGACAUCUAAGCUGCAAUCCAGGGUCUCAAAAACCAGUCUGCACGUAUAGUGCAGAAUAAAUCAGACAAAUCAUCACAGUCAAUGUUCUUCCAAUAAGAUCUCAUCCCGUUUGUCAAAACUCAAUGUCAUCACCCUGUUGUCUAGGGACUCUUCUUAAGUUUUACAUUGUUAUAACAUUACCAAAGAUUUAUAACUUUACCAGGUAGCAUUUAAGCAAGACAUCACUACUAUGAAUUUUUAUCUUUUUAUCAAAUACAAUCAUUAAGCACAUCAUUGAUGAGCUGGUAGUGAUAGAUGAUUUGUCUCAGAGAAACUGUACCAGACUAGAAAGAAUACAACAUGUAUAAAUAUGUUUAUAAAUGACUUACUAAUGUGUAUUAACAUAAGAACAAUGGUUUAUAAAUGAUGAAUUAAAAAUGCACUAAUACUUAACAACUGCUUCAUAGUGUGUAGAUAAGAAAGAAUAAAACAUUUAUAACUGUGUUUAUGAAAGACUUACUAAUGUGUAUUAAUGUAUGAAUAAUGCUUUAUAAAUGAUGAAUUCCGUAUUUACGAAUACUUAACUAGUGCUUUAUACUGUGUAGUUAUUAUAAAGUGCUACCAACAAAAAUAAGGUUCUGAGUGAUUAAAGGUGCUAUAUAAGGUGCUAUAUAAGGUCAACUGUAUUUUGGAUUGCCCAAUUGUAUUCAAUUCUGUGUCAGUUUUGUCUAUUCAUAUGAACUGAUCAAGGUGCUAGCAAUUCAAAUGUCAACAGGGCAGCUGUGGUGGAGCACGCAUGAAUAAAUCAUAUGUUGUAAGUGUA